AGGGACUGCCUUAGGAGAAAGUU
This 23-nucleotide microRNA is filed under the name Homo sapiens (human). RNAcentral describes it as "hsa-miR-3199". Lineage: Eukaryota; Metazoa; Chordata; Mammalia; Primates; Hominidae. The record is from miRBase by way of RNAcentral.